GUCGGGGUGGGUGGGUCCCUCAGUCCGGAUUGCAAGAGGUUGCAGGCCAGGCUGAGGGACCCCACCAGUGCACA
Molecule: microRNA precursor, 74 nt
Filed under: Myotis davidii
Lineage: Eukaryota; Metazoa; Chordata; Mammalia; Chiroptera; Vespertilionidae
Description: mir-9193 microRNA precursor family
Rfam family: mir-9193 microRNA precursor family
Source: Rfam by way of RNAcentral